UCUAGAACUCCAGAUAUAAGUUAAACAUUGAACAGUGUCUGGGUUGCAGGAUAAAUUUAGACAUCUUUUUUGUUGCUAACAUUUAAGCUGAAAAUGACGGUAUUGAGUCUUGAGAUCUUUAUAAAUAUUUUAGGCUUAUAUCUUGUCUUUUCAUU
Populus trichocarpa (black cottonwood) is the source of this 155-nucleotide non-coding RNA. The record is from Rfam. Lineage: Eukaryota; Viridiplantae; Streptophyta; Magnoliopsida; Malpighiales; Salicaceae.